RNAcentral lists this ribosomal RNA (206 nucleotides) under uncultured bacterium. Its description in RNAcentral is "partial 16S ribosomal RNA". It matches the Rfam family "Bacterial small subunit ribosomal RNA", at positions 1296 to 1500 of the family's 1533-position model. The record is from RNAcentral.
GAUUGUAGUCUGCAACCCGACUACAUGAAGCUGGAAUCGCUAGUAAUCGCGGAUCAGAAUGCCGCGGUGAAUACGUUCCCGGGUCUUGUACACACCGCCCGUCACACCAUGGGAGUCGGAAAUGCCCGAAGUCUGUCGACCCAACCUUAGGGAGGGAGCAGCCGAAGGCAGGUCGGAUGACUGGGGUGAAGUCGUAACAAGGUAAC